GGGGAAUAUUGCACAAUGGGCGCAAGCCUGAUGCAGCAACGCCGCGUGCGGGACGAAGGCCUUCGGGUCGUAAACCGCUUUUCUGGGGAAAGAGCAAGGACGGUACCUCAGGAAUAAGUCUCGGCUAACUACGUGCCAGCAGCCGCGGUAAAACGUAGGAGGCGAGCGUUAUCCGGAUUUACUGGGCGUAAAGCGCACGCAGGCGGCUCUGUGAGUCGGACGUGAAAGCUCCCGGCUUAACCGGGAGAGGCCGUUCGAUACUGCGGGGCUUGAGGUAGGGAGAGGAAUGCGGAAUUCCCGGUGUAGUGGUGGAAUGCGUAGAUAUCGGGAGGAACACCUGUGGCGAAAGCGGCAUUCUGGCCCUCACCUGACGCUGAGGUGCGAAAGCGUGGGUAGCAAAC
This 401-nucleotide ribosomal RNA is filed under the name uncultured bacterium. RNAcentral's name for it is "bacterial SSU rRNA". It matches the Rfam family "Bacterial small subunit ribosomal RNA", at positions 356 to 773 of the family's 1533-position model. The record is from RNAcentral.